GGAAGGGUAGCUUGCCACUGAACUAACGGCGGACGGGUGAGUAAUGCUUAGGAAUCUGCCUAUUAGUCGGGGGACAACGUUUCGAAAGGAACGCUAAUACCGCAUACGUCCUACGGGAGAAAGCAGGGGGAUCAUUUGACCUUGUGCUAAUAGAUGAGCCUAAGUCGGAUUAGCUAGUUGGUGGGGUAAAGGCCUACCAAGGCGACGAUCUGUAGCGGGUCUGAGAGGAUGAUCCGCCACACUGGGACUGAGACACGGCCCAGACUCCUACGGGAGGCAGCAGUGGGGAAUAUUGGACAAUGGGCGCAAGCCUGAUCCAGCCAUGCCGCGUGUGUGAAGAAGGCCUUAUGGUUGUAAAGCACUUUAAGCGAGGAGGAGGAGCUUCAGGUUAAUACCCUGGAUGCUUGGACGUUACUCGCAGAAUAAGCACCGGCUAACUCUGUGCCAGCAGCCGCGGUAAUACAGAGGGUGCAAGCGUUAAUCGGAUUUACUGGGCGUAAAGCGUGCGUAGGCGGCUAAUUAAGUCAAAUGUGAAAUCCCCGAGCUUAACCUGGGAAUUGCAUUCGAUACUGGUUAGCUAGAGUAUGGGAGAGGAUGGGUAGCGACAUUCCACGGUGUUAGCGGGUUGAACAUUGCCGUAGAACGAUCCUGGAGGGACAUUACCGAUGGCGAACGGCGGCCCUUCUGGCCUUAAUACUGACCGCCUGGGGUUCGAAAGCCUUGGGGGGCCACCCGGGUUUGCUUCCCUGGUUCUCCAUGCCGGACGU
RNAcentral lists this ribosomal RNA (767 nucleotides) under uncultured Acinetobacter sp. RNAcentral's name for it is "bacterial SSU rRNA". It matches the Rfam family "Bacterial small subunit ribosomal RNA", at positions 73 to 807 of the family's 1533-position model. Lineage: Bacteria; Pseudomonadati; Pseudomonadota; Gammaproteobacteria; Moraxellales; Moraxellaceae. The record is from RNAcentral.